Molecule: ribosomal RNA, 255 nt
Filed under: uncultured bacterium
Lineage: Bacteria
Description: partial 16S ribosomal RNA
Rfam family: Bacterial small subunit ribosomal RNA
Source: RNAcentral
UACGUAGGCAGCGAGCGUUGUUCGGAGUUACUGGGCGUAAAGGGUGUGUAGGCGGUUGUUUAAGUUUGGUGUGAAAUCUCCCGGCUCAACUGGGAGGGUGUCGCCGAAUACUGAAUGACUUCGAGUGCGGGAGAGGAGAGUGGAAUUCCUGGUGUAGCGGUGAAAUGCGUAGAUAUCAGGAGGAACACCGGUGGUGUAGACGGCUCUCUGGACCGUAACUGACGCUGAGACACGAAAGCGUGGGUAGCAAACAGG